UAAGUAAGCGGAGGAGAAGAAACUAAAUAGGAUUCCUUCAGUAAUGGCGAAUGAACAGGGAUCGGCUCAGCAUGGAAAUUGGGGCCCCUGGCCCUGAAUUGUAGUCUCAAGAUGUACUGCCAACGGAGGCGCAGAUGUAAGCCUCUUGGAAAAGAGCAUCAGCGAGGGUGACAAUCCCGCUUGCCAUCUGCAGCCCCCGUGCACGGUGUACCUUCUAAGAGUCACGUUCCUCGGGAUUGGAGCGCAAAGUGGGUGGUAAAUUUCAUCUACAGCUAAAUACUGGUUCGAGACCGAUAGCAAACAAGUACCAUGAGGGAAAGGUGAAAAGGACUUUGAAAAGAGAGUUAGAAGUGCCUGAACUUGCUGAAAGGGAAGCGAAUGGAACCAGUGUUGCUUGGCAAGAUUGCUGUGCACCACUGUGAGGGUCUGCUAUGCUAGCGCAAGUGGUGUGGUAGACUUUGAGCAGGACCUGCACGGUGUUCUUGCCUUGUGUGUCAGCGUCAGUUCGCGCUUGGGGAAGACGUCAAGGACAUGGUAGCCUGCCCACGGGCAUGUGAACGUGCUUGCUCGAACUCAUGCGGGAACUGCACGGUGACGAAAUAGUUCCUUUCGACUCG
This 617-nucleotide ribosomal RNA is filed under the name Vulcanodinium rugosum. RNAcentral describes it as "partial large subunit ribosomal RNA". It matches the Rfam family "Eukaryotic large subunit ribosomal RNA", at positions 43 to 651 of the family's 3401-position model. Lineage: Eukaryota; Dinophyceae; Peridiniales. The record is from RNAcentral.